UUAAUUAGCAAACUGCGCCGUGUUAAUUAGCGCAGAUUUUCUCGUGUAAGACUAUAUUGCGUUAAUGAAUCCAUCGGAACUUUGACUUCGGUUAGUUAAAUUAUUAAAUCUAAGGACCACAAUGAUUAACGUUACAGCCAGAGAAAUAUCUGUUUACUUUGUAUGAGGCACGAAAAGUAAUUUUGCAAAAGGAAUACAGAAGAGCCCCUCGCGAGUUACGCCAGUGCCGCGAAGCGAUCAGAAGAGAAAAAAGGGUAUCCUACGAGAAAGAAACAAGAAGAAGAAGAGCAAGGAAGAAUAAGAAUAUGAAGAGAAAUAGGUAGGCUCGGGCGUUGUAAAAAUCCCCAGCCUCUUCGCUCGUAGACAGUUUAAUGGCCUCUGCAGCUCUCCCGAGGCAGCCCAAAGGGAUAAGGGGCUGUUUCCAAUUGACCGAUUAGAUAUUAACAGGAAUACAUAUAUACAUACACAUUUCUUAUAAUAAAAAUAAUUCAUUAAUGUCCCAGAAUGCAUUAGUCUCUAUAACAAUGGAUGAACAAGAAACGUGAUAGGGAACAAUUCAUUUUAGAUAAAUAAAAAAAAUUAAAAUAUCUAUAAACCACGGAAACACGUCUUCAUUUUUCAAUUUCGUUAAAAAAUAAUAAUUGAUUUCUUCCUGUAAAUAAUUCUCCCCUCACUCCUCACUCGGUAAUUUCAUAUUUUAUACGAGGCCUAAACUCAUGGCAUACGGCAAAUACGGAGAACGGAUAUGCAAGCGUUGGUUCAACGGCAUAUGAAAUUUCGUGGAUGCAGCCACGAUAUAGGAUUGUGAACAAAGCUUAAGGAUGGAACCUGAACACUGUGACAAAGGAUCUCCCGUGCAAACGUGUCUUUCGAAACGAAAAUCUACAUUGCUGUGAAACACUGUCCCUUUCGAGAAACUAAAUCUGUUGUACGAACCGAUGCAGGGUUACAAUAUUAAGUAAAUAUAUGUUAAGAUGCACAGUGUGUACUACACCUAACGUAGCCAGCAUCUUUGUCGACGUCUGGUCGUUCCUCGCAAGAAAAUUGAACAGUGACAAAACAGUAAAGCGCAAAACAACGAAGAGUAAACUUUGAGAAGGAUUGUUAGACGAUGAUAUUGCUAAUUUCACGCCGUUUUCUAUCGUAACGUUUCAGUACGGAAUAACAGCUCGCAUUUUAUCGACUCAGUGAAAUUAUAUGUUAACGACUAUGAAAAAAUUAAACAAACGUCUAACCAGGGUAUAAUUGAAAUUUUAAAACUGUCAGUUACGUUCUUUGAAGUACUUCCAAUGACCGGUUGGCGCGUCUGUUGGUUAUGCAGAUUCUGAGAAUGUGCUCACCGCUCUCUACCGGCGUUUAGCAGAAGCGAGUUUCAUUAUGGAAAACGUACGACACAACGAAUCAAGAAGUAUGACGACCUUUGACUCACGCUCAUUUUUCUUGAUCAAUCGAGACUAGAGAGGGCAAGUACUUGUUUCUCGUAGGUCGAACGUAAACGUAAACGUUGGGUCUCUAUUUGUGCGAGUAUUGCGAAGCGUGCGAUAAAUCGAUGAUACAGAGGAAUAAGUUUGAUGUCUGGGCAACGUAUCUCGUGCGGGGAGAUGGAAGACGAAUCUUUUACCGUCAUCGUCACGAGAGACAGACAACGUGGCACGCGUAAGUAUCGAACGGUAUAUGCCGGCAGUUCGUUGAAACGUUGCAACCGCCUGCAACAGUUGCAGAAACUCUUUGGAGGAGGAGGAGGGAGUUGUAUUUUUCCGGGAGAGCAAGAAACUGGCGAGCAAGGGUACCUACGGCGGAGAGGACGAAAGAGGGAUAGACGGUCUGGCAAUAGAGGAGGAUGAGAAGUGGAAUGAGGGUGAAGAGACUUACAGGGAGGGAGAGAGAGGGAGAGAGAGAGAGAGAGAGAGAGAAAGAGGAUAAGAGAAGAGAGUGGACAGACGCGUCCCCAUAGCAACACGACGCGGCCAUGGCUUAUAUAUGAAACUACAUACGGUAAAUUCAUUCUCUUCGAGGCAUCCAGACUCAGAAAUAAGCUUUGUGUACACAGGUAUGUCUCAGUAUACACGGCAGUGUACGUAGAAAAAUAAAAGCAAACUCCAUACUCGACGCGGUAGACGCUCUAAUUUUACCAGGUAUUCGUAUCUCGAAUUCGUGCAGGCCGAGGGAAGAUGGGUAAAGCGUCGCGUCGAUGCCAGCACGUAGAAGAGAGAAGGAAAGACAAAAGAAAUUCUACCGAUGUAUACAAGAGCUGUAAGAAAUUGAAGAAGCUCCCGGCAAUGUCUUUUCUAGCUGCAGAAAAAGAAUCGUAUUUUUUUUAAAUAUCGUCUAUGAAGGUACAUCUAAAACCGUAGUAGUGACUCCUUAUAUAUUCUAAAAAAAAAAGAAACAAGUUCCCCACGGCAUGGUAUAACUAUAUACACGUGCUUGACGCACGUAGGUCUGCAAAAAAAAUUAUAAACUAUUUUACGUCCCGUCUCACGUAAUGCACUCUAGCCACGUGCACCUCGUACAAUCAGGCGACUCGACCAUCUAGCGGCAAUGCAGCGAACUACUUAAAUCUCCGUAUAAGAAAAGCUUGACUAACCAACCCAACGUAGGUCGCCAUCACGUCGCUUUUGACAAGUCCAAUAAGCAUUGGCAGACAGGAUAGACGCGUUCAUCCCUAAAGUGUAUUGGGGUGGCUGGCCAGCAGGGAAAAUUCGGUUUGCCGGUGCCGUUUGGUUCGCCCUGUACAGUAUGCACCGCCCCACUGCAGUUGCACCUUGAUCCUAACAUGGUGGGAACACCAUGGCUUGAUUUACUACUCCCAUAGGCCUAUCCCCGCCCACCACCUAGACCAGCCUGGCCAAUGACUGGCAUGCAUUCUAGUAGAGAGGUGUAGAGCUGUGUCUUCGUCAUCGCAAGCUCCCCUCUCGUGCCACUAUAGCUGCUACCUAGCUAGCUCUGACUAGCUGCUGCUAGCUAGCUGGUUGACUUGCGUGAGCAACAGCUGACGGUAUUCUUUACGAUUUGCACGUACCAUACGUUGACGUAGCGACACGUCGUCACUACGGGAUACCAUUGGGUCUGUCAUGUUUAUUUUUCUUUUUUAUUUCAAACGUCGUGUACUUGUCUUUAUUUCUUUUUUUUUGUCUCUCGUCCAUACCAGUCUUUUAUCGCACUCUUUUUAUUGGGUAUACCAAAAUUUUUUUCGCUUAUCUCACAAGGACUCGUUAAUUAUAUCUGUAUAGCGAUACCAUUGGAAUUGACAGGAUUGGUAGGACAUUUGGACAUUGCCUUCAGCUUAUAUUGCAUACCACUGUGCCUUGAUUAGAGACUACGUUAAUUAUUGAAUCGAGAAAUUUCAUUGAUUUCGUAUAAGUAAAUUGAACGGAUAUGUUUUAGGCUAUGAUUUUCAUUUUGGAUAGUCUUUCGAUUUAUGAAUAAUACAUAUGACGCUUGAAAAUAUGUUUGACACUAGGGUGCUUAAGAACUUUUAUUGUCGUAUAAAAUUGUUGCGUUCUAGGAACUUUGAGGUUUUACCGAUGAUCCUUUGAAAAUAAUUUUAUCGAUAAUCGUUGUCUUAUCGAACAAACGAAUCGUAGAUAACGGCUUGAUCUUAUCACGUCCUAUGAAAAUUGUGUCCUAUACGGUAAAUACUUAUGGAUUGAACACAAACUGCACUGUUAUAGUCAUGAUUAUCGAGGUCUUCCUUAUUCUUAGAGUCACUUAAGAAAAAAGUAUGCAAACAUUUCGAAAGUCAGUGCUAAAAAUUCUAUGUCCCAAGGGGUUUUAUUUAGCAAACUCGGGUUAUAAAUGUAACUUCGUGUCUACGAAGAAAAAUUGCACGAACGUAUUUGCAAAGCAAUGAACACAUACGAAGAAAGUAAUGAAGUUAGUCAAAUUGAUGGGACGCUCUUGCAACUCGUUUUUUGGCUACAUGAAAAAGUCAGCAUUUCAGUCAACAACGUGGAAAAUGAAAAUUUAAUUGUUUUUCGCAUCCGCAAAAUUGAUCUCAUGGCGUUUUUACUUUAUAAUAUUUCAAUAAUAUUUACCCCACGUGUACUCGUAAUAACAAGGCGGGUAAAAUGAAGCAGUUAAGUCUACACAUCUGUAGUAUUUCCUGAAACUAUCGGUAAUGCAAUUAAGCCCAAAAUAAAGAGAGACAAAGACAGAAACAUGAAAUAUCAUUGCCUGGUCAAGGCGAACAAUGCACAUUGCAUUUAUUCACGUACGAAGAAGUUUGAACGAAAAUAGAGAAUCGAUAGAAGAGCAACUGCAAUGAGAAUAAUCCCCAAUAAAAUUUUCAUGGGAAUCCAAAUAAUGUAUGGCUAUGAUUUUUUUUAUAUACUCAUAUCUCCACGAACAAUUUAAACUAAUGCACAAUUUACGUCAGAAUCUAUUACCACACUCAAUCUCCAUUCUCAUUGUCAGGUUGUAAAUCUAAAUAAAAGUCAAUAUGAACAAAAAUGCAUCACAAUAUCUGUUGGAGAACUCGAAAAAAGAGUAACCUUGCAAUUGUAUCGUUACGUCAUAAAUUAUAAGUGUAAGCUGAGUAAUAUAUUAAUACAAAAUUUAUAUGCUUAGACUGUACUUGCGACCGCAGUAUGCAAUAUCAAGGCGUUACGAUUGUUGAACUAACCUCAAAUAUUUCCUUAGAAUCGUCGGCGCUACUGAUUAUCUUAUUAUCACAUGAAAAAUUAUACGAAUGUAUAUUCGUAUCACCCAACCGAAUACACAUAUCCAUAAUAAGUAUUCCGUCUGGAAUUGCCAGUCUUCGCUCCCUAUUUCGACGGGGUACUUGGAAACCGCGAAACUGACACACGGCGGUCUUCUCAAGGGGUUAUUACGCGACGAAGCAGGGCCACGAUUUCAUUUUCAUAUCCGGUUUAGCGCUUUCAGCAAUAAUCUCCAAGCAAGAACAGCACUGACCUAGCCAAGGGCUGGCUGGUCAUGUAAAGUAACGCCAUGGCACGACAUGCCACACCGCAUCUAUUAUAACGUACUACGAUGCUAUGUUAUACUAUAUGAUACUAUGCCAUGCCAUACCAUACAACACCAUGUCGGAGUAGGUACACGCGAACGAGAAAGGCUUGCGCCAGACGGUAGAUGCACAACUUGGUUAUUGAUCUUAGCCAGAACUAGUUUCCGUUUCCGUAUUUCCAUCCACUGUCGUUUAGUGUUUCACGAAGAGGUACGUUUGAUACCGUAUUCAACGUCGAGUACAUACAGCUUCGUUGGUUGGAAAUACUAUAACCUAUAAAGGUUCGUGUAAUCCGUCUCGCGCGAUACAGUCGGGACAUAAGUUUCGUAAACAAAGUGAAAAGAUUCGAUGCUGGACGUGUAAUCGCCAUUUUCUAAUCGUCAAACCAGACAAAGUACAGUAAUGUAAAUAUAAAAAGGCAAUAGAAACAGUGCGAUUCUCACAGGACGGGCGGAGCAUUUUAUACUUUUCAACGAAACGACCACACGUAGGUUUAUAGAACUUUCCGAGCGACACGUCAAAAACGAACGAGCUUCACACCAUAGAGCCAGCCGUUAAGGAAUGCACUUGAACGAUACAACCGUGCAGAGCGACAGCUCUUGUUUAUUGUCACGCGCGCCAUGGCACUACGUUAUCUUGCGUCCUGAUGUGUUCUUCGUUGCCAAGAAUUAUUUGUCCUUCGAUGGUAAAACAGAGCGCGAACCCAAAGGUAUAUACAUACGUACAACUUUUCCAACAUGGCGCGCAUGAAAAUUCUUUUGUACGUCACGGCGGACAAUUGCCAAUCGAACGGCGCCGCAAGACAGGGUGGGUGACUGUUUCACAAAAGAAUGACAAAGUAGCGACGUCACUGACCAGUGUUGUUUAAACGUCAAACGCUUCUUGGCGUUUCUCUACCCGGUAUGACAAAGGAACUCACGAAGAAGACUGUGCCGGUAUUUCUGAUAUUACUGUCUCUUUGAUAUAUGUGUAUAUGUAAGAGCCGGCCGAUGCCACUGAUACUGUAAUCGUCAAUUGCACAGCCAUGACUGUCGCUAAUUUCUGUUAUUUGGUAUAAAAGUGCUAUUGCUUGAAGUAAUAAAUAAACAGGGUAGGGAAAUGAAGAUACUCAUUUGGUUGAACGUAAAAGGUUGCCAAGAGAGCGGCAGACAAUUAUGCAAAGUAUUAUGAUAAUCAAGGCCUUUCCAGAUACUCAGAGUGAAUAGUUUUGUAUGACAAUAAACUUUUUGUGUUUUGACUCUUGCGACUCUUGUCUGUUCUGCAAUGACCUUGCUAAUGAGAAUAGUCAGAGGUAAUCAAUAUGACGAUAUAUGUCUAUAUUUA
This is a long non-coding RNA of Cephus cinctus (wheat stem sawfly), 6289 nucleotides long. RefSeq lists it as uncharacterized. Lineage: Eukaryota; Metazoa; Arthropoda; Insecta; Hymenoptera; Cephidae. The record is from RefSeq and is a predicted model, not a curated record. The transcript has 4 exons.